This 207-nucleotide ribosomal RNA is filed under the name uncultured bacterium. Its description in RNAcentral is "partial 16S ribosomal RNA". It matches the Rfam family "Bacterial small subunit ribosomal RNA", at positions 568 to 774 of the family's 1533-position model. The record is from RNAcentral.
CAUCUAGGCGGUCAAUCAAGUCGAAGGUGAAAACUUGUGGCUCAACCAUAAGCUUGCCUACGAAACUGAUUAGCUAGAGUACUGGAGAGGUGGACGGAACUACACGAGUAGAGGUGAAAUUCGUAGAUAUGUGUAGGAAUGCCGAUGAUGAAGAUAGUUCACUGGACAGAAACUGACGCUGAAGUGCGAAAGCUAGGGGAGCAAACA